AGGCGUCGACGGGUAGCCGGCCUGAGAGGGCGACCGGCCACACUGGGACUGAGAUACGGCCCAGACUCCUACGGGAGGCAGCAGUGGGGAAUAUUGCGCAAUGGGCGAAAGCCUGACGCAGCAACGCCGCGUGCGGGAUGACGGCCUUCGGGUUGUAAACCGCUUUCAGCAGGGACGAAGGGUCACCUUGACGGUACCUGCAGAAGAAGCACCGGCUAACUACGUGCCAGCAGCCGCGGUGAUACGUAGGGUGCGAGCGUUGUCCGGAAUUAUUGGGCGUAAAGAGCUUGUAGGCGGUCUGUUGCGUCGGAAGUGAAAACUCAGGGCUUAACCCUGAGCCUGCUUUCGAUACGGGCAGACUUGAGGGAUGUAGGGGAGAACGGAAUUCCUGGUGGAGCGGUGGAAUGCGCAGAUAUCAGGAGGAACACCAGUGGCGAAGGCGGUUCUCUGGACAUUUCCUGACGCUGAGAAGCGAAAGCGUGGGGAGCAAACAGGCUUAGAUACCCUGGUAGUCCACGCCGUAAACGGUGGGCACUAGGUGUGGGUUCCAUUCCACGGAAUCCGUGCCGAAGCUAA
Molecule: ribosomal RNA, 576 nt
Filed under: uncultured bacterium
Lineage: Bacteria
Description: bacterial SSU rRNA
Rfam family: Bacterial small subunit ribosomal RNA
Source: RNAcentral